UCCCUGGUAGUAUAUCGGCUAGUACACGCGCCUGUCAUCGCCAUACGUUGUGUUGGAUAAGCUCGAUUUCGCGCGAAAGCUGGGUUCGACUCCCAGCCAGGGAG
Molecule: non-coding RNA, 104 nt
Organism: Rhodocollybia butyracea
Lineage: Eukaryota; Fungi; Basidiomycota; Agaricomycetes; Agaricales; Omphalotaceae
Source: the annotation of a GenBank genome assembly